UGUUAGAUAGAGGCUUGGUGAAUAUUACUUCUUUUUUUUUUUUUAGAGAGAGAGAGAUAGGUAGCACGCUAUUUGCUUCGUUUAUUUUAUUUAAAAUAAACUUAGUUGAAAAUGUGAAUUAACUAGGAUUCGAAUUUGAAACCUCGAGUACCAACCACAAAAGCAUUUGUCACUUACUCUGGGGAUGGUCGGUCGGUGAAUAUUACUUAUUUGUGAGUUAGUGAGGAGG
Molecule: long non-coding RNA, 229 nt
Filed under: Ananas comosus (pineapple)
Lineage: Eukaryota; Viridiplantae; Streptophyta; Magnoliopsida; Poales; Bromeliaceae
Description: long non-coding RNA (ACOM_LNC037697)
Source: RNAcentral